RNAcentral lists this small RNA (124 nucleotides) under Shigella boydii. RNAcentral's name for it is "RtT sRNA". It matches the Rfam family "RtT RNA". From Rfam's summary of the family: This family represents a bacterial cis-regulatory element known as RtT RNA. The exact function of RtT is unknown although it is thought that it may be involved in changing the cellular response in relation to amino acid starvation. RNAcentral also lists the same sequence under 1 other name. The record is from RNAcentral. Lineage: Bacteria; Pseudomonadati; Pseudomonadota; Gammaproteobacteria; Enterobacterales; Enterobacteriaceae.
AUUCUGCCCAAGCGGGGAAGGAUGAGAAGCUUCGACUAAGGUUCGACUCGAGCGCCAGCGAGAAAGCGUUGCCGCAGGCAACGACCCGAAGGGCGAAGCGCUAGUAAUCCUACCCCCACCACCA